CAUGCAAGUCGAGCGCGGGAAGCUUGUCUGAUCUCUUCGGAGUGAAGCGAGUGGAACGAGCGGCGGACGGGUGAGUAACACGUGGGCAACCUACCUAUAAGACUGGGAUAACUCCGGGAAACCGGGGCUAAUACCGGAUAACACUUUUCUUCACAUGAAGGGAAGUUGAAAGAUGGCUUCUUGCUAUCACUUACAGAUGGGCCCGCGGCGCAUUAGCUAGUUGGUGAGGUAAGAGCUCACCAAGGCGACGAUGCGUAGCCGACCUGAGAGGGUGAUCGGCCACACUGGGACUGAGACACGGCCCAGACUCCUACGGGAGGCAGCAGUAGGGAAUCUUCCGCAAUGGACGAAAGUCUGACGGAGCAACGCCGCGUGAACGAAGAAGGUUUUCGGAUCGUAAAGUUCUGUUGUUAGGGAAGAACAAGUACCGUUCGAAUAGGGCGGUACCUUGACGGUACCUAUCGAGGAAGCCCCGGCUAACUACGUGCCAGCAGCCGCGGUAAUACGUAGGGGGCAAGCGUUGUCCGGAAUUAUUGGGCGUAAAGCGCGCGCAGGCGGUUUCUUAAGUCUGAUGUGAAAUCUUGUGGCUCAACCACAAGCGGUCAUUGGAAACUGGGGAACUUGAGUACAGAAGAGGAGAGCGGAAUUCCACGUGUAGCGGUGAAAUGCGUAGAUAUGUGGAGGAACCCCAGUGGCGAAGGCGGCUCUCUGGUCUGUAACUGACGC
RNAcentral lists this ribosomal RNA (726 nucleotides) under Gracilibacillus sp. SCULCB HVA-1. RNAcentral's name for it is "bacterial SSU rRNA". It matches the Rfam family "Bacterial small subunit ribosomal RNA", at positions 54 to 746 of the family's 1533-position model. The record is from RNAcentral. Lineage: Bacteria; Bacillati; Bacillota; Bacilli; Caryophanales; Bacillaceae.